Molecule: non-coding RNA, 45 nt
Organism: Schistosoma margrebowiei
Lineage: Eukaryota; Metazoa; Platyhelminthes; Trematoda; Strigeidida; Schistosomatidae
Source: Rfam
AUCUAGCUGAUGAAUCGUAAAUAGGACGAAACAUUUAUCCUGGAU